UACGUAGGGCGCAAGCGUUGUCCGGAAUUAUUGGGCGUAAAGAGCUCGUAGGUGGCGUGUCGCGUCUGCCGUGAAAGCCCAUGGCUUAACUGUGGGUCUGCGGUGGAUACGGGCAGGCUGGAGGCUGGUAGGGGCAAGCGGAAUUCCUGGUGUAGCGGUGAAAUGCGCAGAUAUCAGGAGGAACACCGGUGGCGAAGGCGGGUCUCUGGGCCGUAACUGACGCUGAGGAGCGAAAGCGUGGGGAGCGAACAGG
RNAcentral lists this ribosomal RNA (253 nucleotides) under uncultured bacterium. Its description in RNAcentral is "partial 16S ribosomal RNA". It matches the Rfam family "Bacterial small subunit ribosomal RNA", at positions 524 to 776 of the family's 1533-position model. The record is from RNAcentral.